CGGAGGGAUCAUUACAGGACGCUCGCGAGAGAUCCUAACCCCCGUGAACCUACCCACAUCGUUGCCUCGGCGGGCGUCCCGGCCUCCGCGCCGGGCGGCGCCACCCGCCGGCGGCCCCCCUACUCCUGUCUCCAGCGUUGGCAUCUCCGAGUCCACACGGCAGAAUCAAAACUUUCAACAACGGAUCUCUUGGCUCUGGCAUCGAUGAAGAACGCAGCGAAAUGCGAUAAGUAAUGCGAAUUGCAGAAUCCAGUGAAUCAUCGAAUCUUUGAACGCACAUUGCGCCCGCCGGCAUCCCGGCGGGCAUGCCUGUCCGAGCGUCAUUUCAACCCUCAGGCUCCGCCUGGCGUUGGGGACCUGCGCGCGCAGCCCCCUAAAGACAGCGGCGGGUGCGCCCCGCGGCCGAACGCAGUAGCACGCUCUCGUUCGGCGCGCGGGCGCGCGCUCCGGCCGUAAAACCCCCCCCUUCCAUCGUGGUUGACCUCGGAUCAGGUAGGAAUACCCGCUGAACUUAAGCAUAUCAAUAAGCGGAGGAAAAGAAACCAACAGGGAUUGCCCCAGUAACGGCGAGUGAAGCGGCAACAGCUCAAAUUUGAAAUCCGGCCCCCCGGGCCCGAGUUGUAAUUUGCAGAGGAUGCUUCGGGUGCGGUGCCUU
This 655-nucleotide ribosomal RNA is filed under the name fungal endophyte. Its description in RNAcentral is "eukaryotic LSU rRNA". The stretch from base 170 to 323 matches the Rfam family "5.8S ribosomal RNA". The record is from RNAcentral. Lineage: Eukaryota; Fungi.